CCCAUUUUAUGAGUCUUAAGUACCCAUUUUUGGCAACAGUAGGGAGCUGUCAAAAAAUGGGGCUUUUUCUGGCAUCAAAUAAUGGGUAUUCAAACCCCAUUAUGAAGUUCCCUUUCUGAUGAAAAUAAUGGGUGAAUAGUACGCAUGAUUGUUUGUGACUUUUAGUACCGCCAUUUGAACUUAGCAAUUUUCGAAAGAAAUAUUACAAGCAAAAUGACAAAUUGCACCAGAAAACCUCGUAGAAGAGAACGGAGACGGAGAGACUAGAAAUGUUACUCGGUAACAGUUGGAUGAGUCCCGGAAAGUGUGGGUUCCCGCUGCUGAUGGACAUUGAAGCAUUCAACAAGCCAAAUGAGCUCCAAAGAUGAUGGAUAAUUUGAAAAUAAGAUGUGAAAUAUUACUAAUUUGCAUAUCGAAAUAUACAGUUUACAUACUACA
Molecule: long non-coding RNA, 438 nt
Organism: Aedes albopictus (Asian tiger mosquito)
Lineage: Eukaryota; Metazoa; Arthropoda; Insecta; Diptera; Culicidae
Exons: 2
Source: RefSeq, a predicted model, not a curated record